This 574-nucleotide ribosomal RNA is filed under the name uncultured bacterium. RNAcentral describes it as "bacterial SSU rRNA". It matches the Rfam family "Bacterial small subunit ribosomal RNA", at positions 125 to 731 of the family's 1533-position model. The record is from RNAcentral.
CUUGUCCACUCCAGGGGGACAACAGUUCGGAAACAGCUGCUAAUACCCCAUAAGCCUAAGGGUUAAAGGAGCAAUCCGGGAGAGGAGAGACUCGCGUCCUAUCAGCUAGUAGGUGAGAUAAUGGCUCACCUAGGCUAAGACGGGUAACCGGACUGAGAGGUCGAACGGUCACACUGGAACUGAGACACGGUCCAGACUCCUACGGGAGGCAGCAGUGGGGAAUCUUGGGCAAUGGGGGCAACCCUGACCCAGCGACGCCGCGUGGGUGAAGAAAUUCUUCGGAAUGUAAAGCCCUGUUGUAUGGGAAGAUAAUGACGGUACCAUACCAGAAAGCCCCGGCAAACUACGUGCCAGCAGCCGCGGUAAUACGUAGGGGGCAAGCGUUGUCCGGAAUUACUGGGCGUAAAGCGCACGCAGGCGGAAUUGUAAGUCCGUUGUAAAAUGCAAAGGCUCAACCUUUGUUUGUCGACGGAUACUGCAAAUCUAGAGUAUGUGAGAGGGAAGUGGAAUUCCAGGUGUAGCGGUGAAAUGCGUAAAUAUCUGGAGGAACACCAGUGGCGAAGGCGACUUCCUG